Molecule: long non-coding RNA, 494 nt
Organism: Mus musculus (house mouse)
Lineage: Eukaryota; Metazoa; Chordata; Mammalia; Rodentia; Muridae
Product: predicted gene, 39068
Exons: 2
Source: RefSeq, a predicted model, not a curated record
AUUAGUUGAACCAAAGGAAGGGAUUGUGGAGCCUCCAGCCUUUAGCCAGCCAGCCAGACAUUUUAGAGGCCCAGACUCAUGAGUGGCAUCUCAGUGGUGCUAGAGUGACAUUGACUGCAGGUCGGUGAUGUCAGUCUCGGGAGGGAGGGUUUCUAGAGAGCAUCUGCUGCAGAGCUGAUUGCUCCUUCGCUGGAGAGAAAAAGCCCACGGAUUUCAGGACUACAGGAAUGGCCUGUGGUGGCUCUGAGAUUCCAUUCAGCUGAAAUGACAUGAAGACGAAGUUUGGUGAUGAGGCUGGAGCUGGGGUCUGGAGCGAUCAAGGAUACCUCAGCAUUGAUGAUGGUUAUCUCAGCGGAGGCGGAGGCUGGAGGAUCCCUGCGACUUCGGUUUCAUUUUAACCCUUCACCUGCAUCUCAGGUUGCCCUCACACCACAUUUCCUGCGUGGAGAUGACUUGGUUUCUUUAAAGUGAAUAACUAGAGAGUCCUCAACCCC